Molecule: unclassified non-coding RNA, 278 nt
Filed under: plant metagenome
Description: partial contains small subunit ribosomal RNA, internal transcribed spacer 1, and 5.8S ribosomal RNA
Source: RNAcentral
UUUCCGUAGGUGAACCUGCGGAAGGAUCAUUAUUCAUAUAUGGAACACAUAAGUGUUUCCUGACCCAAAUCCUCUUUGUGUACUUAUCCAUGUUGCUUUCCCAGGUGAUUGGUUUUACUAGUUGUUUAACCCUUCCUGCUAGUUGAGUUAACUUUACUAUGUAGGCUCCUGGGAGAGGGCCUAUUCAAAGUAAACUAUUAAAUCAGUAGUCUGAGUUGGCCUAGUGUCAUAUCUUUUUAAAUAAAUUAAAACUUUCAACAACGGAUCUCUUGGUUCUG